Non-coding RNA from Sturnus vulgaris (Common starling), 104 nucleotides. Lineage: Eukaryota; Metazoa; Chordata; Aves; Passeriformes; Sturnidae. The record is from RefSeq and is a predicted model, not a curated record.
GAAGAGGAAGAAGGGCAGGUGACAUGUGCUGAGGAGGCCCCACCCAUAUAAUCAGCUACCUGAAGAUGAAAAGUGAUUUGUUCAUAUCACUGACAGUUCCUGCC